UUUAAUAUGGCAGAUUAAGUGCAAUGAAUUUAAGAUUCAUAAAUAAAAUUACUUUUUAUUAAAA
RNAcentral lists this transfer RNA (64 nucleotides) under Hylaeus hurdi. RNAcentral describes it as "tRNA-Leu". The record is from RNAcentral. Lineage: Eukaryota; Metazoa; Arthropoda; Insecta; Hymenoptera; Colletidae.